AUUGAACGCUGGCGGCAUGCCUUACACAUGCAAGUCGAACGGCAGCACGGGAGCAAUCCUGGUGGCGAGUGGCGAACGGGUGAGUAAUAUAUCGGAACGUGCCCAGUCGUGGGGAUAACGUAGCGAAAGCUACGCUAAUACCGCAUACUAUCUAUGGAUGAAAGCGGGGGAUCGCAAGACCUCGCGCGAUUGGAGCGGCCGAUAUCAGAUUAGGUAGUUGGUGAGGUAAAGGCUCACCAAGCCGACGAUCUGUAGCUGGUCUGAGAGGACGACCAGCCACACUGGGACUGAGACACGGCCCAGACUCCUACGGGAGGCAGCAGUGGGGAAUUUUUGGGACAAUGGGCGCAAGCCUGAUCCAGCAAUGCCGCGUGCAGGAUGAAGGCCUUC
RNAcentral lists this ribosomal RNA (390 nucleotides) under uncultured bacterium. RNAcentral describes it as "bacterial SSU rRNA". It matches the Rfam family "Bacterial small subunit ribosomal RNA", at positions 30 to 419 of the family's 1533-position model. The record is from RNAcentral.